CCCUUAGAUGUUCUGGGCCACACGCGCGUUACACUGAUGAAGCCAGCGAGUAUAUCGCCUUCACCGGAAGGUGCGGGUAAUCUUGUGAAACUUCAUCGUGCUGGGGAUAGACCAUUGCAAUUAUUGGUCUUGAACGAGGAAUUCCUAGUAAGCAUGAGUCAUCAACUCGUGCUGAUUACGUCCCUGCCCUUUGUACACACCGCCCGUCGCUACUACCGAUUGAAUGGUUUAGUGAGAUCUCGGGAUUGGAGACGUUGCGCCGCAAGGCACAUCGUCCUCGAGAACUUGAUCAAACUUGAUCAUUUAGAGGAAGUAAAGUCGUAACA
RNAcentral lists this ribosomal RNA (326 nucleotides) under uncultured eukaryote. RNAcentral's name for it is "partial 18S ribosomal RNA". It matches the Rfam family "Eukaryotic small subunit ribosomal RNA", at positions 1470 to 1796 of the family's 1831-position model. The record is from RNAcentral.